CCUACGGGUGGCAGCAGUGAGGAAUAUUGGUCAAUGGGCGUAAGCCUGAACCAGCCAAGUCGCGUGAGGGAUGAAGGCUCUAUGGAUCGUAAACCUCUUUUAUAAGGGAAUAAAGUGCGGGACGUGUCCCGUUUUGCAUGUACCUUAUGAAUAAGGAUCGGCUAACUCCGUGCCAGCAGCCGCGGUAAUACGGAGGAUCCGAGCGUUAUCCGGAUUUAUUGGGUUUAAAGGGUGCGUAGGCGGCCUUUUAAGGCAGCGGUGAAAGGCUGUGGCUCAACCGUAGAAUUGCCGUUGAAAAUGGGAGGCUUGAGUAUGUUUGAGGCAGGCGGAAUGCGUGGUGUAGCGGUGAAAUGCUUAGAUAUCACGCAGAACCACGAUUGCGAAGGCAGCCUGCCAGGCCGUGACUGACGCUGAUGCACGAAAGCGUGGGGAUCAAACAGGAUUAGAUACCCCUGUAGUC
Molecule: ribosomal RNA, 460 nt
Filed under: uncultured bacterium
Lineage: Bacteria
Description: partial 16S ribosomal RNA
Rfam family: Bacterial small subunit ribosomal RNA
Source: RNAcentral